UUAAUGGAGAGUUUGAUCCUGGCUCAGGACGAACGCUGGCGGCGUGCCUAAUACAUGCAAGUCGAGCGGGGUUAAUUAGAAGCUUGCUUCUAACUAACCCAGCGGCGGACGGGUGAGUAACACGUAGGCAACCUGCCCACAAGACAGGGAUAACUACCGGAAA
This 163-nucleotide ribosomal RNA is filed under the name Paenibacillus polymyxa. RNAcentral describes it as "partial 16S ribosomal RNA". It matches the Rfam family "Bacterial small subunit ribosomal RNA", at positions 1 to 156 of the family's 1533-position model. Lineage: Bacteria; Bacillati; Bacillota; Bacilli; Caryophanales; Paenibacillaceae. The record is from RNAcentral.